AUGCAGUGCGCGGCGGGCGGCGGCGGCGGCGGGGAGCCGGCGGUGAGGAAGGGGCCCUGGACCAUGGAGGAGGACCUCGUCCUCGCCGACUACGUCGCCGCCAACGGCGAGGGCGCGUGGAACAGCCUCGCCCGCGCCGCCGGGCUGAACCGGACGGGGAAGAGCUGCCGGCUGCGGUGGCUGAACUACCUGCGCCCCGACGUGCGGCGCGGCAACAUCACGCCGGAGGAGCACCUGCUCAUCGUGGAGCUGCAGGCCAGCGACAGCGCCGGGUGCCAGCUUCUGAGCUCGGCGGCGGUGACCGAGUCCCAGAGCAGCAGCAGCAACUCCGUGGGCCGGCCGGGCGCCAUGCCGCACUACGACGUCGUCGCGGCGGCGACGCAGCCAGGCGGCUGGGGUGAUCACCAGCUUGGCUACGCCGUGCAAGGAGGAGGUGGUGCCGCGUGUGCCGGUGGAAUGGACGGCGGCGUGCCGCCGGAGUUCUUGCAGGCGGCGGCGGUGGCGGGCGACAACUUCUGGGGCCUCGAGGAGUUCUGGCCAACGGUGCCGUCGCUCCACGGCGACUACUGA
RNAcentral lists this ribosomal RNA (570 nucleotides) under Triticum aestivum (bread wheat). Its description in RNAcentral is "partial small subunit ribosomal RNA". The record is from RNAcentral. Lineage: Eukaryota; Viridiplantae; Streptophyta; Magnoliopsida; Poales; Poaceae.